RNAcentral lists this ribosomal RNA (198 nucleotides) under Triticum aestivum (bread wheat). RNAcentral's name for it is "partial small subunit ribosomal RNA". The record is from RNAcentral. Lineage: Eukaryota; Viridiplantae; Streptophyta; Magnoliopsida; Poales; Poaceae.
AUGAAAUAUCUAGUCAAAAAAAUGGUUGAUCGUAAGUGCAAGUACACUACACACGCUGAGCUGCAACGGGACACGGUGACAUCACUUCUUUUGGGAUACACACUAUUCAUCGCAUUUGUCAUCGAGCGAUUGCACCACUAUCUUCAGAAGCUCAUCACCCUGAGGAAAUCAGUCAACACCUCCCAGAGAGGAGCUUGA